Corvus hawaiiensis (hawaiian crow) is the source of this 1708-nucleotide long non-coding RNA. RefSeq lists it as uncharacterized. NCBI's taxonomy places the organism in Eukaryota, Metazoa, Chordata, Aves, Passeriformes, Corvidae. The record is from RefSeq and is a predicted model, not a curated record. The transcript is spliced from 4 exons.
AUAGCAGAAGUCAUAGCAAAGGUGACAGCUUGUGUCUAUGGCUGGGAGUGCACUAUAGGGGGUAAUACCAUAACUUCCUUGAAAGCAGACAGAUGCUAUAAACCCCUGCCUACUUCCCCCCCACCAAGUGUCCCACCAGGAAACCUCUUCCCAAAACCUGUAGCUGUACCCAUGAUGAGAAGCAGGCACAGCUGGCAAACUGCAGACCCAUAGACCUGGCAGCAUCCUGUCCCAAGCGAGCUAAAGAAGCAAAACAAAAAGGCUGUGCAAGAGGAAAACUCACAGUCCCUGCAAGUAGGACCACUUUACCAGUGCGGACCCCAACACAGAGAGCAUUUCAUGUUUGUCCAACAAGUGCAUGAAGUUACAGAACCUGGAUGAAGAUCCAGAUCUCUUAAGUCCAAGUCUGUCACUCCAGCCACAAGCAGAGCUACGUCUAACAUAGAAGAAACAUGUGGGACUCACUGCAGUUAGCUACACUGCCAAAAGCACAACUGUUCUCCCUUAAAACAGAUGCUUUCCAUAGUGCACAUCAUCAUGGGAGAUGUUGUUUGCUGAAGCAGCGAGUCCACUGAGCACCAUGAGGACCCUUUUCCAGUUGGAGCAGCCCGCUUUUGGCACUUCGCAGUACAGGACCUUGUGCCUGUCCUCCACAUAAAUUCUUGACACCAGGUGCACCAGGUCCUACUCAUGUCCACCUACAGAGAGAUGAUGGAUGUGGAUGCAAUGGACUGAAUGCACAUUCAGGUGUCUGUGACACACAUUCCUGCACCUGAGCUGCUUUCACAGCUGAUAAGGAAAAUUAGAUGCCUUUGGAGCCUAUUCCAUCUGACUUACUUAAACAUCAACAUUAAUGACACCAACUAACUAAACAUCAACUAGUGACCCUGCAAAGAAUGUGAAAAGAUGAGACUUUCCUCCCAAACAUCUCUUUGUAAGUCCCCAGCCACUGUGCAAUCCAUGAACUGCAGGAACAGCAAAGCUUGCAUCUGUGUUUUGACAUCAAAUUAUUCAGGGUCUUGUAUCACGUAAGCUGACUGAAGAGUUUCUUGCAGUUUGGGUAUUUCUGCUCGCUCAUUCCUGAGUGGGUUCUCAUGUGUCUGCUAAGGCUUGUAGUUUUUUUCUCCUGUUAGUAGGCAAACCUGCUGCAUUGGGACACCUCCACAGCUGCUUAUUUUCAUUAUAUGUCUGGAGAGGGAAGAUGCUGAUUGACACAUUUUUAAACAUCUUCUUACAAGUAACAGACAGACAAAUGGUUAGAUGGGCAGACAAGCACAGACUGCCUGACUGCUUCUAUAAGUCUAACUUUUUUGGAAAUCUACAUAAAAAGGCUUUUCUGCCAUAAAAUGAUUAAACAUAUACUGGAAAGUUGAUUUGUGGACUGGCAGAUCAUAAGUGUGGAUUUGGGGGGAUGGGAAAGUUCAUAGGCUGAAUCAAAUAAAGCUGUUAAAAAUUCAGAGGAGUAAUGUAAGAAAUGGUAAUGAAUGGAACACAUUGGUAAUGAAUUCCAGUUUGAAAUAAAGCCUAUGAAAAAACAAGCAGUUCCAAGAAAAGUUAGCAUAUGUUGCAGUGUAAUAAUUUCCCAUAACAAAAACAAACCCAGGGGAUCAGGCUUUUCUGUACUGCUGCAAGCCACUGACAAGCAGGUUUUUAUUCACCACACUGAUUUUUGUAUUGGUGAAAACAAAUAAAAGAAGAGAGUCGCGCA